This is a long non-coding RNA of Anguilla anguilla (European eel), 448 nucleotides long. RefSeq lists it as uncharacterized. The transcript is spliced from 2 exons. The record is from RefSeq and is a predicted model, not a curated record. Lineage: Eukaryota; Metazoa; Chordata; Actinopteri; Anguilliformes; Anguillidae.
GUUUUCUGUUUUGAUUUCAGUUCAGUUUUAGUUCAUUUUAAGAGUGGUUUUACUAGCGUAGAUUUGUUUGCGAAUGGUUGGCUGAUAUUCGCACAGGACCCUGAAGUGGGCAUGCCUAUUAAGAGGCUUCCCUUAUGCUAAUCAACAUGAACAGGAUGUGAUUCUUUUUUUCAGGAUUAAUAAAGUGAUCAGUGGCAGCUACUUCCAUCUGUGAGGCAGAACCAGGGGACACCGGGGCAGAAAUCUGAUAAAGGAAAGAAAGCAGCUUGUGGAAGCAAAGAAACCCCAGGUGUUCUGAUCCACACAGAACACAAUACAUUCUCUGUACAAUCAGUUUAUACAGCUGAAUAUUUACUGAAGACACUCAGAGGAAUCAGAGCAGAACCCUUGUUUCCAGGCAAGUUUGCAAUCCACCCUGCCGCCAUCAUCACCAUGGCAUAUUUAAUCA